This 345-nucleotide long non-coding RNA is filed under the name Carica papaya (papaya). RNAcentral's name for it is "long non-coding RNA (CPAP_LNC009222)". Lineage: Eukaryota; Viridiplantae; Streptophyta; Magnoliopsida; Brassicales; Caricaceae. The record is from RNAcentral.
AACACAAAUAUCAUAUGCGCAUUUAUGCAGUUUGAAAAUGAAAGUUUGAUAUGCAUUGGCCUAGUUUAAAAGAUAAGAGAAAUCUUCUCAAGCAUUUUCAUGGUUGUCUUGAUAGGUGUUACUCUGAUAUUAUGAUUGCUGUUUGGAACAUCAUAUCACUCAUAGGACUACUUACUCCAUGUCUUGUUGUAACACCUCGUUAUUGUUGGAGUUGUGGAUGACAUGACACUUCUAUCUCUUCAUAUCAAGCUAUCAAGUUAUGAAGAUCUUCAAUCAACAAUGGAAGCUGAUUGAGAACCAUAAAUAGUAUUGAAACGAAUAGAAUCAUUUGAUGCGUUCUCCUAU